Molecule: ribosomal RNA, 292 nt
Filed under: uncultured bacterium
Lineage: Bacteria
Description: partial 16S ribosomal RNA
Rfam family: Bacterial small subunit ribosomal RNA
Source: RNAcentral
GUGCCAGCAGCCGCGGUAAGACGGAGGGGGCAAGCGUUGUCCGGAAUCACUGGGCGUAAAGCGCGUGUAGGUGGUCUGGUGCGUCGGCGCUGAAAGCUCUGGGCUCAACCCAGAGAAGCGUGCCGAUACGACCGGACUUGAGGCAGAGAGAGGGUAGCGGAAUUCCGGGUGUAGUGGUGAAAUGCGUAGAGAUCCGGAGGAACGCCAGAGACGAAGGUGGCUACCUGGCUCUGACCUGACACUGAGACGCGAUAGCGUGGGGAGCGAACCGGAUUAGAAACCCUGGUAGUCC